This 233-nucleotide ribosomal RNA is filed under the name uncultured bacterium. RNAcentral's name for it is "partial 16S ribosomal RNA". It matches the Rfam family "Bacterial small subunit ribosomal RNA", at positions 57 to 305 of the family's 1533-position model. The record is from RNAcentral.
GCAAGUCGAACGAUGAAGCUCUAGCCUGCUAGAGUGGAUUAGUGUCGCACGGGUGAGUAAUGCACAGGAAUCUCCCUCGUAGACUAGGAUAACCACUGGAAACAGUGAUUAAUACUGUAUAUUAUGGAGGCGGGAAAGUGUUUCGCUACAAGAUGGGCCUAUGGUCUAUCAGCUUGUUGGUAAGGUAAUAGCUUACCAAGACUAUGACGGAUAACUGGUCUGAGAGGAUGAUC